CACGUAGGGUGCGAGCGUUGUCCGGAAUUAUUGGGCGUAAAGAGCUCGUAGGCGGUGUGUCGCGUCGGCCGUGAAAACCUGCAGCUCAACUGUGGGCUUGCGGUCGAUACGGGCAUGACUGGAGUUCGGCAGGGGAGACUGGAAUUCCUGGUGUAGCGGUGAAAUGCGCAGAUAUCAGGAGGAACACCGGUGGCGAAGGCGGGUCUCUGGGCCGAUACUGACGCUGAGGAGCGAAAGCGUGGGGAGCGAACAGG
RNAcentral lists this ribosomal RNA (254 nucleotides) under uncultured bacterium. Its description in RNAcentral is "partial 16S ribosomal RNA". It matches the Rfam family "Bacterial small subunit ribosomal RNA", at positions 524 to 776 of the family's 1533-position model. The record is from RNAcentral.